RNAcentral lists this ribosomal RNA (253 nucleotides) under uncultured bacterium. RNAcentral's name for it is "partial 16S ribosomal RNA". It matches the Rfam family "Bacterial small subunit ribosomal RNA", at positions 524 to 776 of the family's 1533-position model. The record is from RNAcentral.
UACAGAGGUCUCAAGCGUUGUUCGGAUUCAUUGGGCGUAAAGGGUGCGUAGGCGGCGCGGUAAGUCGGGUGUGAAAUCUCGGGGCUUAACUCCGAAACUGCAUUCGAUACUGCCGUGCUUGAGGACUGGAGAGGAGACUGGAAUUUACGGUGUAGCGGUGAAAUGCGUAGAUAUCGUAAGGAAGACCAGUGGCGAAGGCGAGUCUCUGGACGAUUCCUGACACUGAGGCACGAAAGCCAGGGGAGCAAACGGG